UGUGGUGAAUAAUAUAAGCACUAACACCAUGAUUGCAGGUUAUGAGCUAUCCAUAAUAUACACAUCAACAAUGCACAUGAAUAAUAUAAAACUCACCUGAUACUUACCUGUGCGUCCACAGCACCAAUUCACAUAUAUAUAUGCAUCAUAUAUCAAUUCAUGCUUUUCAUAUACUUCUAUGCAUGGCAUUUCAAAUCAUACUUUUCAUAUAAAUCUAUCCAUGGCAUUUUAAAUCAUGCUUUCAUUUAAAUUCAAUUUCUGGGAAAACUCAAUAGUAUAUAGGUAAUACGAAAACAAAACUGCCCACUCACCUGGAGUUCGCCCUACAACUCCCUAGCACAACUCAUCAAGGCGUCAUGACGAUCGCCGCCUAGAACAAUAAUCAAAUCCAACCUCAGAAAUCAUAUCAAUAGAAUAUAACUUAUAUAAAAUACGUCACUACGUAGAUUGAUCCGAAAGAUCUGCAACUCAGAUUUUAAAUCCAUAACUUCCAGAGUCCACAAUAUAUCUCUAGGACAACAUCCUGAAAUUUCAUUACCAUCCAACGGUCGGAUCUCCGUCAAUUUCCAAAACUAAGUGACGGUUAACAUUUUAUUUUAUAAACUUACAACUCCAAUUCCGGAAGAUCCGUAACUCGGAUUCCCAAUCCGUAAGUUCCAAUAAUCCUCAAAUAUUACGUAUUACAACGUAUCAAAGUUUGGUGACGAUCCAACGGUCGGAUCGUCAAUUCACAUUUUCACCUAAAUGUGAAAACUAUAAAACGUUAUUUAAAGCACCUAACCAAUAAUCGUAAUAACUUUCUCAUACGGUGCUCAAUUUGGGUAUAUGAAUAUACCACAUUGACCUACUCGACGUCGACAAAUUUUUAAAAUAAUUUUUUACUGUGGCACGCGCCCCCACGCGCCAAGGAAGGCACGGGUCCACGCGCACCUUCUUCCUCGCGAGUUCGCCGGACUGGUUUUUCUCCGGUGGCCGAAUUCUGGGCAUUUUUCAAAUGCCUUGUUCUCCUUCGUUUCUCAACCAUUUUCUUCGUAUAAUAUAUCAAUUUAAAGCCCUCAACAUGUAGAAUCACAAUAUACUACUUUUAAGCUUCAAAAACAACUAAAUCUCACCGGAAAAAUCCAAGCAAAACCGGCCAAACUUAACCCUCGUGAUCCCGACGUCCAAAUCCUUCCAACGAAGCACUCCAAGCUUCCUUGGGACCUCACUAAGCUCACUAUGAGCUUGGAUUGUCCUAAAAAUCAACCAACAAAAAGUUCAUGAACAGUGCCAAAAUCGGUGCUUGGGAUUUCGAUGUGAAAUCGAAAGAUUUCUUACCUGAAAUAGGUGUGGUUGAGUUCGUAUAGUCCUCACGAGCACGAUGGUACCUUCACAACCUUCGAUCCGUGCUUGUAGGCUUGGUGGUGAGUGUGUCCGUACAAGUCGAGAGUUAAAGAGUGAGAGAAAGCCCUGAGGGAGGAGAGAGGCAGCACGGGGGAAGGAAAGGGUUGAGGUUGACCCGUGUGUGUGUUGUGUGGUCCAACAAAACCCACCAAAAUUCCAAGUCUUUUAAUUCCUUAACCACACAAAAAUACAUACCAAAUUUUAAAUCAACCUUUAAUCCAAUUUAAUUAAUUUUCCAAAAACUUAGGAACCAUGAAAUGUUCAAACAUAUCACACACACGUACCUUAAUAACCGCUAAGGGUAAAUCCGUCAUUUCACAUUCCCGUCAAAUGUAUCUCCGGGACGGGCUGUGACAAUGGGGGACUUCAAUGUAAUUAUGUAAUAAAAAAAUGGGCAAAUAUGUAAUAAGUGAGGAGCCCUUAUUCUAUAAAAGGACCCCUCACUCUCCUCAUUAGGGGAGGCCAAUUCUUAGGCCUGAUCCUCACCCUCUCCAAGCUCUCACUCUCAUAUUCAGAGCUUUCUUUCUCCCUCAGAAAUACAAUAUCAGUGUGGACGUAGCCCAAACCUUGGGGUGAACCACGAUAUAUCUUGUGUUAUUUACUUUCUUGCAGAUUCACGGUCGGAUUUACGUUGUUCCAAGACCCCUCCGAUUUUGUGCAUCACCCAUAUCAAUCAUACAUAUACAUUCAUGAGCAUCACUCAUAUCAAUCAUACAUAAACAUUCAUGAGCAUCACUCAUGUCAAUCAGCUUUGAAAGUUUCAUUUACAGAGCUCCAGCUUUCAAAGUGUCAUUUACAAAAGCUCCAACUUCAAAAGCUUCACUUGCAAAGCUUCACCUACAAAGCUUCAGUGCAUGGUCUACAAAGACCGUCUCCGAACAACCGCCUAUUCGGCCCAUACAUGGAUUCAAUUUGAAGUCUCCAACCAACAGACUCUAUUGACCGAAGACUUGGGGAACUACAUUAUGUACCAUAUAUUAGGCAUCAACUGGGCCUCAUGAAAAAUACUUUGGGGACUUAGCACAGUAUUUAUGUAUUGAGGAGCGAGCUCUUAUUUUAUAAAAGGGACUCCCUCACCAUCAUUAGAGACCAUCAACUCUAACCUAUUAUUCAUGUAUUGAGAUGCGAGCCCUUAUUUUAUAAAAUGGACUCCCUCAUCAUCAUUAGAGAGCAUCAACUCUAGCCCAUUAUUCAUGUAUUGAGGAGCGACCCCUUAUUCUAUAAAAGGGACUCCCUCACCAUCAUUAGAGAGUAUCGCUGCCUACUGAGCAACCGCCUCUCCGCGAGCAUCAACUCUAGCCCAUAUUU
This 2691-nucleotide long non-coding RNA is filed under the name Malus domestica (apple). Its description in RNAcentral is "long non-coding RNA (MDOM_LNC001546)". The record is from RNAcentral. Lineage: Eukaryota; Viridiplantae; Streptophyta; Magnoliopsida; Rosales; Rosaceae.